GACGAACGCUGGCGGCGUGCUUAACACAUGCAAGUCGAACGGAAAGGCCCUGCUUUUGUGGGGUGCUCGAGUGGCGAACGGGUGAGUAACACGUGAGUAACCUGCCCUUGACUUUGGGAUAACUUCAGGAAACUGGGGCUAAUACCGGAUAGGAGCUCCUGCUGCAUGGUGGGGGUUGGAAAGUUUCGGCGGUUGGGGAUGGACUCGCGGCUUAUCAGCUUGUUGGUGGGGUAGUGGCUUACCAAGGCUUUGACGGGUAGCCGGCCUGAGAGGGUGACCGGCCACAUUGGGACUGAGAUACGGCCCAGACUCCUACGGGAGGCAGCAGUGGGGAAUAUUGCACAAUGGGCGGAAGCCUGAUGCAGCAACGCCGCGUGCGGGAUGACGGCCUUCGGGUUGUAAACCGCUUUCGCCUGUGACGAAGCGUGAGUGACGGUAAUGGGUAAAGAAGCACCGGCUAACUACGUGCCAGCAGCCGCGGUGAUACGUAGGGUGCGAGCGUUGUCCGGAUUUAUUGGGCGUAAAGGGCUCGUAGGUGGUUGAUCGCGUCGGAAGUGUAAUCUUGGGGCUUAACCCUGAGCGUGCUUUCGAUACGGGGUGACUUGAGGAAGGUAGGGGAGAAUGGAAUUCCUGGUGGAGCGGUGGAAUGCGCAGAUAUCAGGAGGAACACCAGUGGCGAAGGCGGUUCUCUGGGGCCUUUCCUGACGCUGAGGAGCGAAAGCGUGGGGAGCGAACAGGCUUAGAUACCCUGGUAGUCCACGCUGUAAACGGUGGGUACUAGGUGUGGGGUCCAUUCCACGGGUUCCGUGCCGUAGCUAACGCUUUAAGUACCCCGCCUGGGGAGUACGGCCGCAAGGCUAAAACUCAAAGGAAUUGACGGGGCCCCGCACAAGCGGCGGAGCAUGCGGAUUAAUUCGAUGCAACGCGUAGAACCUUACCUGGGUUUGACAUGGAUCGGGAGUGCUCAGAGAUGGGUGUGCCUCUUUUGGGGUCGGUCCACAGGUGGUGCAUGGCUGUCGUCAGCUCGUGUCGUGAGAUGUUGGGUUAAGUCCCGCAACGAGCGCAACCCUUGUUCACUGUUGCCAGCACGUUAUGGUGGGGACUCAGUGGAGACCGCCGGGGUCAACUCGGAGGAAGGUGGGGAUGACGUCAAGUCAUCAUGCCCCUUAUGUCCAGGGCUUCACGCAUGCUACAAUGGCUGGUACAGAGAGUGGCGAGCCUGUGAGGGUGAGCGAAUCUCGGAAAGCCGGUCUCAGUUCGGAUUGGGGUCUGCAACUCGACCUCAUGAAGUCGGAGUCGCUAGUAAUCGCAGAUCAGCAACGCUGCGGUGAAUACGUUCCCGGG
RNAcentral lists this ribosomal RNA (1344 nucleotides) under uncultured bacterium. RNAcentral describes it as "16S ribosomal RNA". It matches the Rfam family "Bacterial small subunit ribosomal RNA", at positions 28 to 1378 of the family's 1533-position model. The record is from RNAcentral.